AAACACUCAGCCUCGUCUCAGAUAACCCUGAUUAUCCCGUCUCAACUUUCGGGCACAUGCAUCAGGAGGCUGAUUUCCAGGGAAACGUGAUGGGUUGAACAUGAGACAUUGAUACUGUGCAAGUCUUCUUGGAAAGUUUCCCCACACCACAGAUCGCCUGGAGAGUGGAAGUAACUAAGUAAGAUUUUUAUGUAGCACCUUUUCAAACAAAGUUACAAAGUGCUUCACCGGAUACAAAUUCAGAAAAAU
Molecule: long non-coding RNA, 249 nt
Organism: Etheostoma cragini (Arkansas darter)
Lineage: Eukaryota; Metazoa; Chordata; Actinopteri; Perciformes; Percidae
Exons: 2
Source: RefSeq, a predicted model, not a curated record